AUCAAUUAUAUUUUUCAUUUAAUCUAAUUAGAUUUGAUGUAUCAUAUAUAUUAUAUCAGAUCUAAAAUACAUCUUAUACUGAUUAUAAAAUAUUAAUUUUAAAUUUAAUAUUAUAUAAAAAAUUAAUUAGAUAUAAAUAUGAAUGCAUAAGAAAUAAAUUUCUGAUAAAAUCUAUUUUCACGUAGUGCUGAAUUCUCAUAGG
This 202-nucleotide long non-coding RNA is filed under the name Elaeis guineensis (African oil palm). Its description in RNAcentral is "long non-coding RNA (EGUI_LNC058487)". The record is from RNAcentral. Lineage: Eukaryota; Viridiplantae; Streptophyta; Magnoliopsida; Arecales; Arecaceae.